This 487-nucleotide unclassified non-coding RNA is filed under the name Hevea brasiliensis (rubber tree). Lineage: Eukaryota; Viridiplantae; Streptophyta; Magnoliopsida; Malpighiales; Euphorbiaceae. The record is from RNAcentral.
CCAACUUUAAAGAUAGCUGACAAACUAUCUGAAACAGUAAUAUCAGAGAAACAAUCAACUCUCUCUUUCAAUUCCCAAAUUACAUUUCCAGACCUUAUAUCCCACAAUUUCACAUUUCCCAACAUACCAGAGGGUCCGCUAUGAGAACCAGAUGCCAUUACCACAUUAUAACUCUCUACCCACUUCAAUUUUGUGGCUGGAAUGGCUGAGUCAAGAUCUGCACCGUAUAUCUCGCAGUGAGCAAUCUCGGUUACUGGCGAAAAUGAUUGCAAAUCGUAAACCAUGAUCGAGUUAGAGUUCCUGCGACCUGACUCAAAACUUGUGAACAAGAAAUCUGGAGACGAUCCAAUUGCCUGAACUGUGGAGCUCGAUUGGGUCACGUUUUCCCAACACAAAGUUUCCCUUACAAAACCCUUUUCCAGAUCGAGAAUUUGCAUUCCCGAGAAAUCGGUGGCUCCCAUGGCAGCAAAAUAACGUCUUUCGAUUG